This 253-nucleotide ribosomal RNA is filed under the name uncultured bacterium. RNAcentral's name for it is "partial 16S ribosomal RNA". It matches the Rfam family "Bacterial small subunit ribosomal RNA", at positions 524 to 776 of the family's 1533-position model. The record is from RNAcentral.
UACGUAGGUGACAAGCGUUGUCCGGAUUUACUGGGCGUAAAGAGCGCGCAGGCGGUCGUUCAAGUCGAGUGUGAAAGCCCCCGGCUCAACUGGGGAGGGUCACUCGAUACUGAUCGACUUGAAGGCAGGAGAGGGAAGCGGAAUUCCCGGUGUAGCGGUGAAAUGCGCAGAUAUCAGGAGGAACACCGGUGGCGAAGGCGGGUCUCUGGGCCGAUACUGACGCUGAGGAGCAAAAGCGUGGGGAGCGAACAGG